UGUCAGCGUCUCGGCGCGUAUCAGCUACACAGGCGGGCGCAGCGCCUACUCGCAGAAAGUGCCACGACUCCAAAAGUCAACGGCGAUUCAUAAUCAUUGAAUUAUUUGACAGCAGUAUCUGGAUUAGGAGGGACAAGACUGAGCAAAGAUGGAUGUAUAUGACCCUCAAACUCUUGGAAUCAUGGUGUUUGGUGGCUUCAUGGUCUUCUCUGCCAUUGGCAUCACACUCGUCUCCACUUUUUCCAUGAAGGAGACAUCUUACGAAGAAGCCCUGGCCAAACAACAACAAGAGUCAGGCAAGACCCCAACCCAACGUUCUGACAAGAAGAAAAAGGCAUCUGAGAAGAAAAACAAGGCCAGAAAGAAGGAGGACAAACCCGAUGGAAAACUUCCAGAAUCUGAGCCUGAGUCCAGCCCUGAACCUGAACAUGUCAUCGAAAUCAGUGAACCAGAACCAGCACCCCAACUAGAACCAGAAACCCAACCUGAAUCUGUGACCAUUCCCAAGCCUGAAGUUACACCCAAGCCACCUGUACCUGAACCAGUUCUAGUUCCUGAGGUUGCUAAGUCCACUUCUCCACCUAAUGUAAGUGCUGUGGUGGCCCCAUCUGCUCCUUCCCCAAAGGAGAAGAAGAAGAAGAAGGUAGCCAAGGUGCAACCAGCCCCUGGCAAGACAGUAGAGGUCCCAGAGGUUGUAGUUAAAGAGGAACCAGUGGUCGCCAAGGUGGCUGUGAAAGCAGAGGUCGCUCCUGAUGUAAUUGCUCCCCCUAAGGCUGAAGAACCCAAGCUAGAACCCAAACCUGAAGCUCCAACCAAGAAGAAGUCCAAGAAGAAGGCUGACCCAGUGGUAACUGUAGAGAUGUACGAUGCCCCCCUGCUGUCACCAUUUAAAACCCUGGUCUCCAGUCUGAACAAUGCAUCGUUUAAUGAAUCAGAGAUGCAGAAACUCUUGGAGAUAAUCAGCAAGAAGGCAGGAGAAGACUCCUGGCAACUGGCAUCUCAGAAGGGAGACCCACUGGCAGCAUUGAAGAAACAGCUUGAGGACAAGGAAAAGCAGUUGACUGCUGAGCAGGAAAACAUAGCUGCAGCCAAGACACGCAUCCGCGAGCUUACCAAGGAGCUGAGUUCUGCAAAGAGCAAGAUGACAUCUGUUGAGACCCGUAUGAGCUCAGAGCUACACGCCCGUGGGCAGGAGAUCGCUACUCUACAGGCUCGUAUGCAGUCAUCCUACCAGGAGCACGUCCUUGAGACACAGCAGCUUAACAGCAAGAUCCAAAGCCUGCUAGAGCAAUUUGAGAAUGGACCAAAUGCUCAACUAGCCCGUCUGCAGCAAGAGAACUCCAUUCUCAGAGAUGCCCUCAACCAAGCCACCAGCCAGGCGGAGAGCAGGCAGAAUGCAGAGUUAGCAAAGUUGCGUCAGGACUGUGUGCGUCUCAACCAAGAGCUGAAUGACCGCACAGUUGCUCAGCAUGCAGCGGAAGAGCGCAGUAAAGCUCUGGAAACCAAGAUGGUGGCAGCAGAAGAACAGCUAGCACAAACACAAGCAAACCGUGUGGAGGCUGAGCAGGUUCUGCAGCAGAAGCUGGAUAGAGUCAGUGAUGAGCUCCGUCAGGCUCAGGAUAACAGCACCACCCUACAUGCUCAACUAGAUGGAGCAAAAGAGCAAACAAAGACCCUUACUGAGCUCCAGGAGCAUAUGCAAGUUACAGAGGCAGAUCUGAAGGACAGAUGUGAAGAACUGGAGCUGCUGAGAGCACAGCUGUCUCAAACAACAAAGAGCGCUGUGGAGACAGAAGCCCCUGAGACUCAGAGGGACAAUUCAGAGGAGGUUGAACAACUGAAAAGCAGUGUGAGCAGUCUGAAAGAGAGGGAGGAUCAGCAGACAUCACUGGAGGCGGAGCUUAUGCAGCUGAGGGAGGAGCUUGAAACAGUACAGAAGGCUCAAUCUGAGGCAGCUCAGAAUAGGAAAAAUGAGGCAGAGACAGAGAGGAGAGAAUACACAGCUGAGAUCGAACUGCUGAAAACUAGUCUGAAAGAAAAGGAGGAUUUGGUGGCAUGCCUGCAGGCUCAAAUGGAGAAGAUGGGAAGUACAGAAACGGUUGAAGCAGAGCCACCGUUUGAGAAUCUGGAAAAGGACGCCCACAUGAUCUCACUGGAGGAGGAGCUUCAGCAGAUGAAAGAAGAAAUGGAGCGAAUGAAGACCAAGAGCAAUGAACUGCGGGAAAAGAACUACACCGCGGUGGAGGCUCUGGCCGCUGCUGAGAGGCUGAGUGAAGAAAGACUGAGCCAGGCCAGGGCCGCACAGAAUGAGGUAGAGCAGAAACUGAGUUCUUUCCAGACAGACGCCAGAAACGCCCUCCAGACACUCUUUCCUCACAUCACCAUUGAAACACAUCAGAGUAACUGGCUGGAAGCAUUCACACAUGAAGCACAGGCGAGCCUCACACACAGUCAACAGAGUCCAACAGAACAGCAGACAGAAACAUCAAGCAAAGAACUGACGGAACUGCAACAUAAGCUCGCCCAAUCAGAGGAGAGUCAAAGGUCACUGCAUGCUGAGUGUGAGCAGUACAGAUCCACUCUCAGUAAAACGGAGAGCAUGCUGAAAGUUCUGCAGAAUAGUGUGGAUGACGGGGAGCUCGUGUGGAAUUCAAAGAUCUCAGAUGCAGAAGAGCAGAAGCAGGCAGCCCUGGAUCAGGUGAAGGUGCUAAAGGAGACGAUAGAGACUAUGAAAGCGGAGAGACAGGAUACAGAUCAGCUGAAGGGUCAGGUGAUGCUGCUGGAGGCACAGCUGGAGAAACAGCUGGAGUCCAUAACCAUCAGCCAGACUUAUGCAGAAGAAAUGUCUCAGAUGAAGGCAUUGUUAUCAGAAACUCAGAGCCAGCUGGAAUUAUCCAAAGCAGAGGCUCAGAAACAGAAAGCAGAAUUUUUAUUGGUCAGACAGGAGCUGCAGUAAGUGACUCACAUGCAUACGGAAUGAGGAGAGCACACAGUCCACUCAGGUCAGGCUAGUGGAUGGCACUCUGGUCAGAUUUACAGGAACCACCAAACACAAACACAUACACCUGUUACCACUAUUAACAAUGAAAUAAGCCCAGAGAGUGAUUAAUGGUCAAAGUUAAAGCUGAUAUGUGCAAUUUCUUUCUUUCCCAUAUCCCAGCCUAAUAUACAGAGUCAGCUCUAAGUAAGCCAUUUGUUGAAAAGGAAUAACGUCCAGUCCCUGUGUCGCUGUUCUGUCGUGUUUGGUGAUUCCCUUCAAAUUUGAAGCCCUACUGGUUGGCAUUAACCUUGAUGUGUGUGUGUGUGUAUUAGUAUCUGUUGCAGUGGCAAUAUCUAACCUUUCCUCUCCCAUUGUCGGUUGAAUAUUCUGUUUUUUGCAUCUUAUGCUCUUUGUUACUUAUAAAAGACCUAUGGUAAAGGACAGACUAAUGGUUGAGGGUAUUUUAUUUUUAUUUAUUGUAUUUUUUAUUAUCAUUUAUAAGUUUGCUAGAUUGCAGCCACCUGACCUGAAGACAUCUUUUUGGAGUACUUUUUGUCUUUAUUCAUUUCUAACUUCAUCUCUUCUGCUGUUACAGGAUGAAGUCAUAUCCUAACCCAUGUCAUCAUCAUCAUCACUAAACACCAUAUGUACAUGUACAUGCUGUUGUGUUUGUUUACUGGGAUCAAUAGCUGGCUUGUAUCUCACUCGCUGUUCAUCUUUACUGGUACAGACGCAGCUGGAGGAGGCAACGAAUAAACUGCAGACAAAAGAGGACAUUAGGCAGCAGCUAGCAAAUGACUACGAACAGGCACAGAAGUGUGUGCGGUAUCUUGAGGUCCGGUUAGAACAGUUAAAAGCUGCAGAAGAGGGAGCAACUGA
Molecule: RNA transcript, 3859 nt
Organism: Myxocyprinus asiaticus (Chinese sucker)
Lineage: Eukaryota; Metazoa; Chordata; Actinopteri; Cypriniformes; Catostomidae
Gene: rrbp1b
Gene name: ribosome binding protein 1b
Exons: 25
Source: RefSeq, a predicted model, not a curated record